GUUCAGCUGCGCAAGGAUGCCCUUCCCGGUGAUGGCCUCUCCGAGCAGCGAUGCCUGCCAGCCGUGCAUGCCCAAUACCACCAGUUGCGCUAAAGAGGACUAAUGUCCUUGGGAUGAGGCAGCCUCCACCACGCUGGUAUAAUCCCUACCAUGGCUACCCUUAUAGAUCAUAUGGAGCACCGUACUUCCCCCCAUAUGGUUAUGAGAGGGCUCCUAGAUUCCGUCGUCUUAUGCGCUACAUAGCUUAUCAUGUACAAGGUUAAUGGACGGUAUUUCUCACCGUGACCACUCGGUUAGCCGGUAAGAACUGAGCCACUGAUAAGGACUGAAACUGCUCGCAUGCUCUAUUGUAAGCAGAGUGCUCAUGAUUCAAGGAAGAUAAUUUUCCAUUUUUUUCUGUUGGUUCAACGAAACACACAGAAUGAGAACAUUGGUACACUGCAUGUUGUUAUUUGCGGUUAGUACCAAAACUUUUCUCUUUUCUGCUUUGUAUCCUCUUGUUUUCUUUGACACGUCCUAUAAUCGUUCUUCUCUCUUCUUGCUUAUUAUGUAAAUGCCCAUUCCAAUAUUAGUCAAAAGCUAUUGCAGUUCA
This is a long non-coding RNA of Zea mays, 592 nucleotides long. RefSeq lists it as uncharacterized. The transcript has 4 exons. The record is from RefSeq and is a predicted model, not a curated record. NCBI's taxonomy places the organism in Eukaryota, Viridiplantae, Streptophyta, Magnoliopsida, Poales, Poaceae.